UACGGAGGGUGCGAGCGUUGUCCGGAAUCACUGGGCGUAAAGGGCGCGUAGGCGGCUCGUGAAGUCAGUGGUGAAAGCCCAGGGCUCAACUCUGGGUCGGCCACUGAUACUCGCGAGCUCGAGUUUGGUAGAGGCAGAUGGAAUUCCGGUGGAGCGGUGAAAUGCGUAGAGAUCGGAAAGAACACCAACGGCGAAAGCACUCUGCUGGGCCGACACUGACACUGAGAGACGAAAGCUAGGGGAGCGAAUGGG
This 252-nucleotide ribosomal RNA is filed under the name uncultured bacterium. RNAcentral describes it as "partial 16S ribosomal RNA". It matches the Rfam family "Bacterial small subunit ribosomal RNA", at positions 524 to 776 of the family's 1533-position model. The record is from RNAcentral.